This 211-nucleotide long non-coding RNA is filed under the name Lathyrus oleraceus (garden pea). RNAcentral describes it as "Pisum sativum (pea) long non-coding RNA (PSAT_LNC021886)". The record is from RNAcentral. Lineage: Eukaryota; Viridiplantae; Streptophyta; Magnoliopsida; Fabales; Fabaceae.
CAGAUCCUCUCCUUUCUUCCCCAACCAGGGUUGAGCCCUCGAGUUGGUCGUUUCUCUCCAGCAGAUGUUCCCCUCCUGUGAGGAUUGGCUGAGAAUUGUAUCGAUGAUUCAAACUAGUGACAUUUGUAUCCUUUGUGAUCGUUUUGUCAGCAUGAUCAUCAUAUAUGCAUAUACAUAUACAUAUACAUUAAUAAAUUUCACUAUUAAAUUA